Molecule: ribosomal RNA, 212 nt
Filed under: Pseudoalteromonas sp. SR44-8
Lineage: Bacteria; Pseudomonadati; Pseudomonadota; Gammaproteobacteria; Alteromonadales; Pseudoalteromonadaceae
Description: partial 23S ribosomal RNA
Rfam family: Bacterial large subunit ribosomal RNA
Source: RNAcentral
CAAGCAGUAGGAGCCCACUUGUUGGGUGACUGCGUACCUUUUGUAUAAUGGGUCAGCGACUUAUAUUUUGUAGCGAGGUUAACCGAAUAGGGUAGCCGUAGGGAAACCGAGUCUUAACUGGGCGACUAGUUGCAAGGUAUAGACCCGAAACCCGGUGAUCUAGCCAUGGGCAGGUUGAAGGUUGAGUAACAUCAACUGGAGGACCGAACCCA